AAGUAGAUAUUUAUUUGUUUAUUUAUAUUUAUGUAUUUAUAUUUAUUUUUAUAAAAAUAUUUUUUGGUUUAAUUAAUUUUUAAUAAAAAAAUAGUAUUUAAUUAUAGUUUAAUAUUAUUGAGAAAGAAAGGUAGGGUUUAUAUGAAAGAAAGAUUAAAUUUUUGUACCUUGGGUAUCAGGGUUUAUUUAAAAUUUAUUUUAUAGUAAAAUAAUCUCGAAUUUAAUAAGGGCUAUUUAUUUAUGUUGGUAUAUGUAGAAAAAUAUUAUUUAAUAAAUUUAUAGGAAUAAAAAGUUAUUCUAUUUUAAAUAUAUCUAGUUUUUUAAGAAAUUAAUUUAAUUAAGUUUAUAUGUAAUAUAAUUUUUUUUAGAGUAAAUUAUUUUAUUUAUAAAUUAAUAAAAGAGGGGAUAAUCUUUUUUUUAAAUUUAUAUAAUUGAUGGAAUUAUUUUUAAAUUAAUAGAAUUAAUAUUUUUAAAUUUUUUAGUGAGUCAUAUUUAAUUUAUUUUAAAUUAAGAUUUAUAUUGAUUUAUAUUUUUUAUUAAAAAAUAAAUUUUUAUUCCAGAUAUUUAGAUAUAAUGAUAGAAUUAGUAUAAUGAUAUAUAAAUUGUGUAUUAAAUGAAAGGUUAAUUAAAAAGAAUUAGGCAAUAAAAUUUUCACCUGUUUAAUAAAAACAUGUCCUUUUGAUUUUAAUUUAAGGUUUAAUCUGCUCAAUGAUAAUUUUAAAUAGCCGCAGUAUAUUGACUGUGCUAAGGUAGCAUAAUCAAUAGUUUAUUAAUUGUAGGCUUGAAUGAAGGAUUGAAUGAGAAAUUAACUAUUUUAUAUUUAUUUAAUUAAAAUUUUAUUUUUAAGUGAAAAAGCUUAAAUUUUUAUAAAAGACAAGAAGACCCUAUAGAGUUUUAUAGAGUUAUUGGUAGAUGGGAAAUAAGGAUUUAAAUUAUUAGGCCAAUAAUUUUAAUUAAUUGGGGUGAUUGGUAAAUUUAUUUAAUUUUAUUAUAAUUUAAACAUUAGUAUAUGAGCAUAUGAUCCUUUAAGAAGAUUAUUAGAAAAAAUUACCUUAGGGAUAACAGCGUAAUUUUUUUUAGAGUUCUUAUUAAAAAAAAAGUUUGCGACCUCGAUGUUGGAUUAAGAUAAAUAAUUGGUGUAGAAGUUGAUUAAUUAGGUCUGUUCGACCUUUAGAAUCUUACAUGAUCUGAGUUUAAACCGGCGUGAGCCAGGUUGGUUUCUAUCUUUAUAUUAAUAAAUUUAUAUUAGUACGAAAGGACCAUAUAGAUUUUAUAGUAAAUUUUUUUAGAAUAGGAAUUA
RNAcentral lists this ribosomal RNA (1300 nucleotides) under Scolytoplatypus skyliuae. RNAcentral's name for it is "16S ribosomal RNA". The stretch from base 1058 to 1215 matches the Rfam family "Archaeal large subunit ribosomal RNA", at positions 2542 to 2701 of the family's 2987-position model. Lineage: Eukaryota; Metazoa; Arthropoda; Insecta; Coleoptera; Curculionidae. The record is from RNAcentral.